This 253-nucleotide ribosomal RNA is filed under the name uncultured bacterium. RNAcentral's name for it is "partial 16S ribosomal RNA". It matches the Rfam family "Bacterial small subunit ribosomal RNA", at positions 524 to 776 of the family's 1533-position model. The record is from RNAcentral.
UACGUAGGGGGCGAGCGUUGUCCGGAGUUACUGGGCGUAAAGCGCACGCAGGCGGUCUGUUAAGUUUGGAGUGACAGUUGGUGGCUUAACUGCCAAAGUGCUUCGAAAACUGACAGACUUGAGGGCUUCAGAGGGACACGGAAUUCCGGGUGGAGUGGUGAAAUGCGUAGAGAUCCGGAGGAACACCAAAGGCGAAGGCAGUGUCCUGGGGAAUACCUGACGCUCAGAUGCGAAAGCCAGGGGAGCGAACGGG